CAGUCGCCGCGGUAAUACGUAGGUGGCAAGCGUUGUCCGGAUUUAUUGGGCGUAAAGCGAGCGCAGGCGGUUAGAUAAGUCUGAAGUUAAAGGCUGUGGCUUAACCAUAGUACGCUUUGGAAACUGUUUAACUUGAGUGCAAGAGGGGAGAGUGGAAUUCCAUGUGUAGCGGUGUAAUGCGUAGAUAUAUGGAGGAACACCGGUGGCGAAAGCGGCUCUCUGGCUUGUAACUGACGCUGAGGCUCGAAAGCGUGGGGAGCAAACAGGAUUAGAUACCCCAGUAGUCCCUGUCUCUUAUACC
Molecule: ribosomal RNA, 301 nt
Filed under: uncultured bacterium
Lineage: Bacteria
Description: partial 16S ribosomal RNA
Rfam family: Bacterial small subunit ribosomal RNA
Source: RNAcentral